GUAAGUGCGACCGAACAGGGAAGAGCUCAGCGCGUAGGCGGCGGAGCCCCACCCGAAAGGGCUGCGGGGAUGUCACUCCGCUUGCGAUGCCGCGUAUGGGGGGUUCCUUGAGUUGCUACCAAGAUCGCCUAAGUUAAAUCCUUGAGAGGUGCUCCAUAGAGGGUGAAAGGCCCGUACGGCGAUCUCAUUAACAGGCUUUUGCGGUAGCGCUCGCGGGUUCCCCUCGAGAGUCGGGUUGCUCGGGAAUGCAGCCCUAAGACAGGUGGUAAACUCCAUCUAAGGCUAAAUACUCCCACGAGACCGAUAGCGCACAAGUACCGCGAGGGAAAGUUGAAAAGAACUUUGAAAAGAGAGUUCAAGAGAGCGUGAAACUACCACGAGGUUAAAGCGAAUGGACACACGCAAUUCCGGAAAGCCGAAUCCAACCCCAGCUUCGCGGGAACACUGACGUCGGCCGACGGGUCUAAAAGGGUUUAAAAGAAGCUCGUCUUCUCCCUCCCGCUCGGUACCGGCGUAAAGAUCCUUGAAGAACGGGGUGUAAGUUCGAGCUCAGUAGGUCGUCUCGGCCGUUGUUGCGUUGUCGAAGGCCCUAGGGUCCGGGACCCGUUCUCAGAUCCGGAAGUUUUUCUUCUCCUCAACCUCUUUAAACGGAGGCGCCCGAGGUGAAUUAAGGUCCGGUCUGAGGGCGGUUACGCCUAAGUGUCCUGACGGACGCGACGACGGUGAUCAAGGUCGAACGGUUUCCGCGAGGGCGGUCGCUCCAGUAGCGAUUUAGCCGCAGUGUCUGAAAUAAAAGGCACCGAUAGCUAACCG
This 813-nucleotide ribosomal RNA is filed under the name Ligia sp. 1 MJ-2015. RNAcentral describes it as "eukaryotic LSU rRNA". It matches the Rfam family "Eukaryotic large subunit ribosomal RNA", at positions 83 to 651 of the family's 3401-position model. The record is from RNAcentral. Lineage: Eukaryota; Metazoa; Arthropoda; Malacostraca; Isopoda; Ligiidae.